RNAcentral lists this ribosomal RNA (253 nucleotides) under uncultured bacterium. Its description in RNAcentral is "partial 16S ribosomal RNA". It matches the Rfam family "Bacterial small subunit ribosomal RNA", at positions 524 to 776 of the family's 1533-position model. The record is from RNAcentral.
GACGGAGGGUGCGAGCGUUAAUCGGAAUUACUGGGCGUAAAGCGUGCGCAGGCGGUUGUGCAAGACAGAUGUGAAAUCCCCGGGCUUAACCUGGGAACUGCAUUUGUGACUGCACGGCUAGAGUACGGCAGAGGGGGAUGGAAUUCCGCGUGUAGCAGUGAAAUGCGUAGAUAUGCGGAGGAACACCGAUGGCGAAGGCAGUCCCCUGGGCCUGUACUGACGCUCAUGCACGAAAGCGUGGGGAGCAAACAGG